ACUGCUCAGUAACACGUGGAUAACCUGCCCUUGGGACCGGCAUAACCCCGGGAAACUGGGGAUAAUUCCGGAUAACGCAUAUAUGCUGGAAUGCUUUAUGCGUGAAAUGGAUUCGUCUGCCCAAGGAUGGGUCUGCGGCCUAUCAGGUAGUAGUGGGUGUAAUGGACCUACUAGCCUACAACGGGUACGGGUUGUGAGAGCAAGAGCCCGGAGAUGGAUUCUGAGACAUGAAUCCAGGCCCUACGGGGCGCAGCAGGCGCGAAAACUUUACAAUGCGGGAAACCGUGAUAAGGGGACACCGAGUGCCAGCAUCAUAUGCUGGCUGUCCAGGUGUGUAAAAUACACCUGUUAGCAAGGGCCGGGCAAGACCGGUGCCAGCCGCCGCGGUAACACCGGCGGCCCGAGUGGUGAUCGUGAUUAUUGGGUCUAAAGGGUCCGUAGCCGGUUUGGUCAGUCCUCCGGGAAAUCUGACAGCUCAACUGUUAGGCUUUCGGGGGAUACUGCCAGACUUGGAACCGGGAGAGGUAAGAGGUACUACAGGGGUAGGAGUGAAAUCUUGUAAUCCCUGUGGGACCACCUGUGGCGAAGGCGUCUUACCAGAACGGGCUCGACGGUGAGGGACGAAAGCUGGGGGCACGAACCGGAUUAGAUACCCGGGUAGUCCCAGCCGUAAACGAUGCUCGCUAGGUGUCAGGCAUGGCGCGACCGUGUCUGGUGCCGCAGGGAAGCCGUGAAGCGAGCCACCUGGGAAGUACGGCCGCAAGGCUGAAACUUAAAGGAAUUGGCGGGGGAGCAC
This 796-nucleotide ribosomal RNA is filed under the name uncultured Methanosarcinaceae archaeon. Its description in RNAcentral is "bacterial SSU rRNA". It matches the Rfam family "Archaeal small subunit ribosomal RNA", at positions 85 to 879 of the family's 1478-position model. Lineage: Archaea; Methanobacteriati; Methanobacteriota; Methanomicrobia; Methanosarcinales; Methanosarcinaceae. The record is from RNAcentral.